CAGCAGCCGCGGUAAUACGUAGGUGGCAAGCGUUGCCCGGAAUUAUUGGGCGUAAAGGGCUCGCAGGCGGUUUCUUAAGUCUGAUGUGAAAGCCCCCGGCCCAACCGGGGAGGGUCAUUGGAAACUGGGAAACUUGAGUGCAGAAGAGGAGAGUGGAAUUCCACGUGUAGCGGUGAAAUGCGUAGAGAUGUGGAGGAACACCAGUGGCGAAGGCGACUCUCUGGUCUGUAACUGACGCUGAGGAGCGAAAGCGUGGGGAGCGAACAGGAUUAGAUACCCCAGUAGUCCCUGUCUCUUAUAA
This 301-nucleotide ribosomal RNA is filed under the name uncultured bacterium. RNAcentral describes it as "partial 16S ribosomal RNA". It matches the Rfam family "Bacterial small subunit ribosomal RNA", at positions 509 to 809 of the family's 1533-position model. The record is from RNAcentral.